This is a long non-coding RNA of Oncorhynchus tshawytscha (Chinook salmon), 438 nucleotides long. The record is from Ensembl. Lineage: Eukaryota; Metazoa; Chordata; Actinopteri; Salmoniformes; Salmonidae.
GGGGACAGAAGAGAGGUGGUGGGACAGAAGAGAGGUGGUGGGGACAGAAGAGAGGUGGCGGGGACAGAAGAGAGGUGGUGGGAUGGGAGAGAGGUGGCGGGGACAGAAGAGAGGUGGCGGGGAUGGGAGAGAGGUGGCGGGGACAGAAGAGAGGUGGUGGGGACAGAAGAGAGGUGGUGGGAUGGGAGAGAGGUGGCGGGGACAGGAGAGAGGUGGUGGGGACAGAAGAGAGGUGGCGGGGACGGAGAGGUGGGGGAGACGGGAGAGAGGUGGCGGAGACGGGAGAGAGGUGGUGGGGGGACGGGAGAGAGGUGGUGGGGAUGGGAGAGAGGUGGUGGGACAGAAGAGAGGUGGUGGGGACGGGAGAGAGGUGGUGGGGACAGGAGAGAGGUGGUGGGGACGGGAGAGAGGUGGUGGGGACAGGAGAGAGGUGGCGGG